AGCAGGCCUAUGGCCUGCUUGCAGGCACCUGCCCAGUCUGUCUCUCGGAGAAUGUUACUGCUCCACAGACAUGGAGGACAGGACAAAAAGACUAUCAAAGCUACCCUUAUGCAAUUUAAUGCUGAUUGUACCUUUAGGAAAGAAGUUUACAUUCUGCCAAGUUUAACUUUGUGUGCUGUUUAGAAGGAACAUGUUCAGUAAUCAUAUGUUGGAAGGGUCUAAUGGAUUUUAGGAGUCCUUCGUGAGGAAGCAGUGGUGAAAAAACCUGAUACCUAGGCAGUUUUCAAGGACUAUUCUCAUACAUUUCUGGAAAUUUGAAUACACCCAUCUCAGCCAGCUGUUGAAGUUUUUGGAUCUGGAAUCAAGCGUAUUAUAACCCUUUGAUACUUCAGUGACCCAUGAAGACUAUCUAAUCUCCUACAUGAAUGGGAAUGACCUACCAAGGAAACAUCAGAAACUUUACCCAUUGGGUCCAUAUAGGAGCUUAGUUUCUCCUCCUCAAACAUCUGCUUUUUCUAGUCUAAAUAUGGCUUAUGUAUGAUGGUUUAUACUGACUACUAUCCUUCCACAUUGUAUGUAUUUCUCCUGCCCUAUUCAUGUACUUACACUCUGUGAUACUUUAUGAUCAUUUGUGACUUUGUGAAAUUGAUAUUAAUAUAUGGUUGUUCUAACCAGCCUUAACUAGGUGAUAUUGAUACAUUAAUAUAUGGAUUGGUUAUAUUUU
Molecule: long non-coding RNA, 724 nt
Organism: Hemicordylus capensis (graceful crag lizard)
Lineage: Eukaryota; Metazoa; Chordata; Lepidosauria; Squamata; Cordylidae
Exons: 3
Source: RefSeq, a predicted model, not a curated record